UGGCGGCGCGCCUAACACAUGCAAGUCAAACGAGAAAGUCCGCAAGGAUGAGUACAGUGGCGUACGGGUGAGUAACACGUGGAUGAUCUACCUUCUGGUGGGGAAUAACCCUGGGAAACCGGGGCUAAUACCGCAUAAGUCCGAGAGGAGAAAGCAGCAAUGCGCCGGAAGAGGAGUCCGCGGCCGAUUAGCUAGUUGGCAGGGUAAAAGCCUACCAAGGCAAAGAUCGGUAGCCGGCCUGAGAGGGCACACGGCCACACUGGCACUGAAACACGGGCCAGACUCCUACGGGAGGCAGCAGUGGGGAAUCUUGCACAAUGGGGGAAACCCUGAUGCAGCGACGCCGCGUGAGCGAUGAAGCCCUUCGGGGUGUAAAGCUCUUUCGGCAGGGAAGAUGAUGACGGUACCUGCAGAAGCAGCUGCGGCUAACUACGUGCCAGCAGCCGCGGUAAUACGUAGGCAGCAAGCGUUGUUCGGAGUUACUGGGCGUAAAGGGUGUGUAGGCGGUUGUUUAAGUUUGGUGUGAAAUCUCCCGGCUCAACCGGGAGGGUGCGCCGAAUACUGAAUGACU
Molecule: ribosomal RNA, 571 nt
Filed under: uncultured bacterium
Lineage: Bacteria
Description: bacterial SSU rRNA
Rfam family: Bacterial small subunit ribosomal RNA
Source: RNAcentral